RNAcentral lists this unclassified non-coding RNA (236 nucleotides) under Hevea brasiliensis (rubber tree). Lineage: Eukaryota; Viridiplantae; Streptophyta; Magnoliopsida; Malpighiales; Euphorbiaceae. The record is from RNAcentral.
AAGUUUGUAGAAAACAGACCUUUUAAUGAUCAGAGGUAUUUCUUGGAUGAUGAGAAACUCAAGAACUUGGGAUGGUCGGAACGUACAACGUGGGAAGAAGGGCUGAAGAAGACAAUUGAAUGGUACACCAAGAACCCUGAUUGGUGGGGUGAUGUCUCUGGGGCUUUGCUGCCACAUCCUAGAAUGCUAAUGAUGCCCGGUGGAGUUGAGAGGCACUUUGAAGGGUCUGAAGAGGG